RNAcentral lists this ribosomal RNA (254 nucleotides) under uncultured bacterium. RNAcentral's name for it is "partial 16S ribosomal RNA". It matches the Rfam family "Bacterial small subunit ribosomal RNA", at positions 524 to 776 of the family's 1533-position model. The record is from RNAcentral.
UACGUAGGGUGCAAGCGUUGUCCGGAAUUAUUGGGCGUAAAGAGCUCGUAGGCGGUCUGUUGCGUCGGCUGUGAAAAUCCGGGGCUCAACUCCGGGCCUGCAGCCGAUACGGGCAGACUAGAGUUCGGCAGGGGAGACUGGAAUUCCUGGUGUAGCGGUGAAAUGCGCAGAUAUCAGGAGGAACACCGGUGGCGAAGGCGGGUCUCUGGGCCGAUACUGACGCUGAGGAGCGAAAGCGUGGGGGAGCGAACAGG